RNAcentral lists this unclassified non-coding RNA (160 nucleotides) under soil metagenome. RNAcentral describes it as "partial internal transcribed spacer 1". The record is from RNAcentral.
CCGAGUUAUACAACUCCUCAAACCCCUGUGAACAUACCUAAACUUGUUGCCUCGGCGGGAAUCAGCCCGGCUCCCUGUAAAACGGGACGGCCCCCGCCAGAGGACCCCUAAACUCUGUUUUCUAUAAUGUACUUUCUGAGUAAAACCAGCAAAUAAAUCA